Molecule: ribosomal RNA, 543 nt
Filed under: uncultured bacterium
Lineage: Bacteria
Description: bacterial SSU rRNA
Rfam family: Bacterial small subunit ribosomal RNA
Source: RNAcentral
AAUAGAUACCCUGGUAGUCCACGCCGUAAACGAUGAGUGCUAAGUGUUGGGGGUUUCCGCCCCUCAGUGCUGCAGCUAACGCAUUAAGCACUCCGCCUGGGGAGUACGGUCGCAAGACUGAAACUCAAAGGAAUUGACGGGGGCCCGCACAAGCGGUGGAGCAUGUGGUUUAAUUCGAAGCAACGCGAAGAACCUUACCAGGUCUUGACAUCCCGGUGACCACUAUGGAGACAUAGUUUCCCCUUCGGGGGCAACGGUGACAGGUGGUGCAUGGUUGUCGUCAGCUCGUGUCGUGAGAUGUUGGGUUAAGUCCCGCAACGAGCGCAACCCUUAUUCUUAGUUGCCAUCACUUAGUUGGGCACUCUAAGGAGACUGCCGGUGAUAAACCGGAGGAAGGUGGGGAUGACGUCAAAUCAUCAUGCCCCUUAUGACCUGGGCUACACACGUGCUACAAUGGACGGUACAAACGGUUGCCAACCCGCGAGGGGAGCUAAUCCGAUAAAACCGUUCUCAGUUCGGAUUGUAGGCUGCAACUCGCCUACA